This 678-nucleotide small RNA is filed under the name Pan troglodytes (chimpanzee). RNAcentral describes it as "retained intron". Lineage: Eukaryota; Metazoa; Chordata; Mammalia; Primates; Hominidae. The record is from RNAcentral.
GGGGCCAAGGACCGCUGGCUGACCACAGCACCUCCCCUCAGGAUCGUGUGUGUCACAGGGCCAGCCCCAGGACCGCUCUCAGGUGUGGUGACCGUGAACGCCUCUAAGGAGGGCAAGUCCCGGGACCGCUUCUCCUACGUGGUAAGGGGGGCUGCAGCCCACUGUCCGGCCCGCCCAGCACGCACACUCCCGGGGGCUGGCCCGAGGCCCAAACGCCUGCCUUCCUCCCACAGCUGCCCCUGGUCCACUCCCUGGAGCCUACCAUGGGCCCCAAGGCCGGGGGCACCAGGAUCACCAUCCAUGGGAAUGACCUCCAUGUAGGCUCCGAGCUCCAGGUCCUGGUGAACGACACAGACCCCUGCACGGAGCUGAUGCGCACAGAUACCAGCAUCGCCUGCACCAUGCCUGAGGGGGCCCUGCCGGCUCCGGUGCCUGUGUGUGUGCGCUUCGAGCGUCGGGGCUGCGUGCACGGCAACCUCACCUUCUGGUACAUGCAGAACCCGGUCAUCAUGGCCAUCAGUCCCCGCCGCAGCCCUGUCAGGUGAGACUGGCACCCCGCCCUUCCCCCAGGCUCUCUGGGGCUGCAGGUGGACUGAUAGGUUUUGCUGUCCCCCGCAGUGGCGGCAGGACCAUCACAGUGGCUGGUGAGCGUUUCCACAUGGUGCAGAAUGUGUCCAU